Molecule: long non-coding RNA, 456 nt
Organism: Tupaia belangeri chinensis (Chinese tree shrew)
Lineage: Eukaryota; Metazoa; Chordata; Mammalia; Scandentia; Tupaiidae
Exons: 2
Source: RefSeq, a predicted model, not a curated record
GCCAGCCCCUGCCAUGCCCCCUGGCCACACGCUCAUGCCUGAGAACCAGCGGCUGGAAACACUGAGCAGUUGGCUCCAAAGCCAGAGCCAGCUGCUGCGUGAGCUAAUAUUGCUGCCUGCCGGGGCAGACUCACUAAGAGCCCAAGGCCACCGUGCUGAGCUGGACAGGAAGUUGGUGCAGGUAGAAGAGGCCAUCAAGAUUUUUUCCCGACCCAAAGUCUUUGUAAAGAUGGAUGCCUAAGCCCCUUUGUGGGAGUGGUGGCAGAGAGAGCCACAGAAAGAUUGCCACAUGGCUGCAAAGGACAGGGUUGUGCCCUAUCACAGAAUGGCAGUCUGAAGACAGGAGCCAUGGGGUGGGCAGUGUCCCCAAAGCAUUUGUCCCAGCCACCAAUGGCUGUGGAAGAGCCAUUCCAGCCUUUAAGCCCUUGAUCAAAAUUAAAACUUUUGUACACAGUA